Non-coding RNA from Strongylocentrotus purpuratus (purple sea urchin), 72 nucleotides. The record is from Rfam. Lineage: Eukaryota; Metazoa; Echinodermata; Echinoidea; Camarodonta; Strongylocentrotidae.
GGUGCCAUGGUGUAAUGGUUAGCACUCGAGACUCUGAAUCUCGCGAUCCGAGUUCAAAUCUCGGUGGGACCU